GAGCAAAGCUGGUUAUGACAAGCAGAAUGCAAUGGAAUUAAUGAUUCAGUCAAGUAAUAGCUCUGUUCUGAUGAAGUUUAAGGAAAAAAAUAAUUACACUCUUGUUUAUAAGGUUGAUGAGAAUAUUCGAGAUGCUCUUGAUGAAACCAUUAAAGACAUCAAGACAUUUGCUGAUUCUGUGGUCAUCAGCAAGAGUUCUGUCUUCCCAGAUAAUGCGCUAUUCCUCAUUGGUGUUACAGAUGUUGUGCCACGGCUAAAAUCAGCUGGGCUCCCUGUAUAUGUAGAGACCUUCAGCAAUGAAUUUGUAUCUCAAGCAUGGGACUUCUUCUCGGAUGCAAAUGUUGAGGUUAACACUUAUGUCAUGGAAGCCAACGUUAAUGGUGUUAUCACAGACUUCCCUCUAACAGCAAGUAGAUACAAAAGGAACCGUUGUUUAAAUUUGGGCAAGAACACACCUCCUUACAUGACCCCGGUUCCGCCAGGUGGUCUCCUGGAAAUAAUUCCGCGUGAAUUAUUGCCGCCAGCUGAGGCUCCUAACCCAGUGCUAACGGAGAACGAUGUGGCAGAGUCACCUUUGCCCUCCGUUAUUGCGAGGGUUCCAUCUUCCAGCCCAGGUGAUGGAACUGCACAAGCAGCAGCUCCAAGACCAAAUGGACAGCAUAAGAUUGCCGCAUGCUUCUUCCUUACAAAUCUGGCCAUUCUCUUCACUGUAUUUUCGCUACUUUAAAAAUCGAAAAAGUCAGCUCUGCUUAAUAUCUUCCUGCGCCUUUCUAUUUACAGUCUAUUUGCGGUGCUUUAUUUUUGGUUUAUUGUUGUAGGAAUGUUCAUUCUUCCCGUUGUAUUUUGGAGAGAAACAAAGUCAAGGCAUAAUUCAUUACCCGUGUAAGAUAUAUUUAUAUUCUUUGGUGUGUAUCAUUAAGAGAAGUUAAGAGGCAUGGACUGAAUAUACCCA
This 952-nucleotide unclassified non-coding RNA is filed under the name Hevea brasiliensis (rubber tree). Lineage: Eukaryota; Viridiplantae; Streptophyta; Magnoliopsida; Malpighiales; Euphorbiaceae. The record is from RNAcentral.